This 253-nucleotide ribosomal RNA is filed under the name uncultured bacterium. RNAcentral describes it as "partial 16S ribosomal RNA". It matches the Rfam family "Bacterial small subunit ribosomal RNA", at positions 524 to 776 of the family's 1533-position model. The record is from RNAcentral.
UACGGGGGGGGCAAGCGUUGUUCGGAAUUACUGGGCGUAAAGGGCUCGUAGGUGGCCAACUAAGUCAGACGUGAAAUCCCUCGGCUUAACCGGGGAACUGCGUCUGAUACUGGAUGGCUUGAGUUCGGGAGAGGGAUGCGGAAUUCCAGGUGUAGCGGUGAAAUGCGUAGAUAUCAGGAGGAACACCGGUUGCGAAGGCAGCUCGCUGGGACGUAACUGACGCUGAGACGCGAAAGCGUGGGGAGCAAACAGG